CAGUAGCCGCGGUAAUACGGAGGGUGCAAGCGUUAAUCGGAAUUACUGGGCGUAAAGCGCACGCAGGCGGUCUGACAAGUCAGAUGUGAAAUCCCCGGGCUUAACCUGGGAACUGCAUUUGAAACUGUCAGGCUGGAGUCUUGUAGAGGGGGGUAGAAUUCCAGGUGUAGCGGUGAAAUGCGUAAAGAUCUGGAGGAAUACCGGUGGCGAAGGCGGCCCCCUGGACAAAGACUGACGCUCAGGUGCGAAAGCGUGGGGAGCAAACAGGAUUAGAUACCCCAGUAGUCCCUGUCUCUUAUAA
RNAcentral lists this ribosomal RNA (301 nucleotides) under uncultured bacterium. Its description in RNAcentral is "partial 16S ribosomal RNA". It matches the Rfam family "Bacterial small subunit ribosomal RNA", at positions 509 to 809 of the family's 1533-position model. The record is from RNAcentral.